AGUCGAGCGAAGUCUUCGGACUUAGCGGCGGACGGGUGAGUAACGCGUGGGAACAUACCCUUUGGUACGGAAUAGCCUCGGGAAACUGGGAGUAAUACCGUAUGUGCCCUUCGGGGGAAAGAUUUAUCGCCAUUGGAGCGGCCCGCGUUAGAUUAGCUAGUUGGUGGGGUAAAGGCCUACCAAGGCAACGAUCCAUAGCUGGUUUGAGAGGAUGAUCAGCCACACUGGGACUGAGACACGGCCCAGACUCC
Molecule: ribosomal RNA, 251 nt
Filed under: uncultured bacterium
Lineage: Bacteria
Description: partial 16S ribosomal RNA
Rfam family: Bacterial small subunit ribosomal RNA
Source: RNAcentral